This 571-nucleotide ribosomal RNA is filed under the name Leptodactylus gracilis (Dumeril's striped frog). RNAcentral describes it as "partial large subunit ribosomal RNA". It matches the Rfam family "Bacterial large subunit ribosomal RNA", at positions 1816 to 2597 of the family's 2925-position model. Lineage: Eukaryota; Metazoa; Chordata; Amphibia; Anura; Leptodactylidae. The record is from RNAcentral.
CGCCUCUUGACAAACUUAUAAGAGGUCCAGCCUGCCCAGUGACUUUGUUCAACGGCCGCGGUAUCCUAACCGUGCGAAGGUAGCGUAAUCACUUGUUCUUUAAAUGAGGACUAGUAUGAAUGGCAUCACGAAGGUUAUACUGUCUCCUUUUUCUAAUCAGUGAAACUAAUCUUCCCGUGAAGAAGCGGGAAUAGUAAUAUAAGACGAGAAGACCCUAUGGAGCUUUAAACAAAUAUACAAUUGCCCACUUAAUUAAAAAUUUCAGAAGAUAAAUACUUACCCAGGCACUUUGAUAUAAAGUUUUAGGUUGGGGUGACCGCGGAGCAAAAGACAACCUCCACAGUGAAAGGGGAGAUCCCCCUAAACUAAGGGCUACUACCCUAAGUAUCAAUAAACUGACACCAGUUGACCCAAUACACUUGAUCAACGAACCAAGUUACCCUAGGGAUAACAGCGCAAUCCACUUCAAGAGCUCCUAUCGACAAGUGGGUUUACGACCUCGAUGUUGGAUCAGGGUAUCCUAGUGGUGCAGCCGCUACUAACGGUUCGUUUGUUCAACGAUUAAAACCCU